This 403-nucleotide ribosomal RNA is filed under the name uncultured bacterium. RNAcentral's name for it is "partial 16S ribosomal RNA". It matches the Rfam family "Bacterial small subunit ribosomal RNA", at positions 30 to 526 of the family's 1533-position model. The record is from RNAcentral.
AUUGAACGCUGGCGGCAGGCCUAACACAUGCAAGUCGAGCGAGCGGCGGACGGGUGAGUAAUGUAUGGGGACUGCCCGAUAGAGGGGGAUAACUACUGGAAACGUUGGCUAAUACCGCAUACUAUCGGAUAACCCAUAUGGGAUUAGCUAGUAGGGGUGGUAAAGGCUCACAUAGGCGACGAUCUCUAGCUUGUCUGAGUGGAUGAUUAGCCAGCCUGGGACUGAGACACGGCCAGGACUCCUACGGAGGCAGCAGUGGGGAAUAUUGCACAAUGGGCGCAAGCCUGAUGCGGCCAUGCCGCGUGUCUGAAGAAGGCCUCAGGGCUGUAAAGUACUUUCAGCGGUGAGGCGUGACCCGCAGAAGAAGCACCGGCUAACUCCGUGCCAGCCGCCGCGGUAAUAC